AUUGAACGCUGGCGGCAGGCUUAACACAUGCAAGUCGAACGGUAACGGGAAGAAAGCUUGCUUUCUUUGCUGACGAGUGGCGGACGGGUGAGUAAUGCUUGGGAAUCUGUUUCAUGGAGGGGGAUAACUACGGGAAACUGUAGCUAAUACCGCGUAAUAUCGAGAGAUUAAAUGUGUGGGACCGCAAGGCCACAUGCCAUGAAGUGAGCCCAAGUGGGAUUAGAUAGUUGGUGAGGUAAUGGCUCACCAAGUCGGCGAUCUCUAGCUGGUCUGAGAGGAUGACCAGCCACACUGGGACUGAGACACGGCCCAGACUCCUACGGGAGGCAGCAGUGGGGAAUAUUGCACAAUGGGCGCAAGCCUGAUGCAGCCAUGCCGCGUGAAUGAAGAAGGCCUUCGGGUUGUAAAGUUCUUUUGGUGGUGAGGAAGGUUGAUACGUUAAUAGCGUAUUGAUUUGACGUUAGCCACAGAAGAAGCACCGGCUAACUCCGUGCCAGCAGCCGCGGUAAUACGGAGGGUGCGAGCGUUAAUCGGAGUAACUGGGCGUAAAGGGCACGCAGGCGGUGACUUAAGUGAGGUGUGAAAGCCCUGGGCUUAACCUAGGAAUUGCAUUUCAUACUGGGUCGCUAGAGUAUUUUAGGGAGGGGUAGAAUUCCACGUGUAGCGGUGAAAUGCGUAGAGAUGUGGAGGAAUACCGAAGGCGAAGGCAGCCCCUUGGGAAUAUACUGACGCUCAUGUGCGAAAGCGUGGGGAGCAAACAGG
RNAcentral lists this ribosomal RNA (762 nucleotides) under uncultured bacterium. Its description in RNAcentral is "bacterial SSU rRNA". It matches the Rfam family "Bacterial small subunit ribosomal RNA", at positions 28 to 776 of the family's 1533-position model. The record is from RNAcentral.